Molecule: ribosomal RNA, 188 nt
Filed under: Shewanella algae
Lineage: Bacteria; Pseudomonadati; Pseudomonadota; Gammaproteobacteria; Alteromonadales; Shewanellaceae
Description: partial 16S ribosomal RNA
Rfam family: Bacterial small subunit ribosomal RNA
Source: RNAcentral
ACUUUAAUUGAAGAGUUUGAUCAUGGCUCAGAUUGAACGCUGGCGGCAGGCCUAACACAUGCAAGUCGAGCGGUAACAUUUCAAAAGCUUGCUUUUGAAGAUGACGAGCGGCGGACGGGUGAGUAAUGCCUGGGAAUUUGCCCAUUUGUGGGGGAUAACAGUUGGAAACGACUGCUAAUACCGCAUAC